Molecule: ribosomal RNA, 345 nt
Filed under: Triticum aestivum (bread wheat)
Lineage: Eukaryota; Viridiplantae; Streptophyta; Magnoliopsida; Poales; Poaceae
Description: partial small subunit ribosomal RNA
Source: RNAcentral
AUGAUGAGCUUGAGGUCAUGGAGGGGAGCUAACAAUAGGAAUGCCGUUGAACAUGCCAUAAGUUGGCGAUGCUUGAACCGAAAACCGUCCAUGAUACAUGCAUGUCUCCGUAGUGUGCUAAUGUAUCAUCGUUUGUUCUUGUCGUUUUACUUUACCAUAAUAACACCUCAUUUCACGCAUCUCAUGAAUAAAUGGACUAUCCCUAGCCCAUUUUGCAUGUACUUUUUAAAUGUACAUGCAAGCCAUGUUGAAAUACAAGAGCUGGACUUGUGGAACAGAUUAUUAAAUUCUAUAUCAGCUUUUCUAGAUUUUAAGAGCAUGCGAUAUAUUUUUCUCCCGUUGUAA